Molecule: long non-coding RNA, 325 nt
Filed under: Elaeis guineensis (African oil palm)
Lineage: Eukaryota; Viridiplantae; Streptophyta; Magnoliopsida; Arecales; Arecaceae
Description: long non-coding RNA (EGUI_LNC054593)
Source: RNAcentral
GCCAUCGGAUGGUGCAAAACACUUCCUAUUCACAGUCGGAAAUGGCAUCAGCCAUCAGAUCAGACUCCGAAUUGAUUUUCAGCCAUUAGAUUGUGCAUUGGAUUUCCUUCUUCGCUUAGUUUUUAACUGACAACAAAUGUGGACUGUUGGAUCUAGUUUGGGAUAAAUUUGGACUAUUGGAUCACACAAAAAAGCUUUCGCCCAUCGUGGACCACAUCAUGCACCAUGAAUUGCUCCCAUGGACCAUACCCUUGAAUCCGUGGACUGAGCGACUGGUCCACCAUGCAUCGAGCUAUAAAAAUUAAUUUUUAUGGUAUUUUUGCUU